Molecule: ribosomal RNA, 503 nt
Filed under: uncultured bacterium
Lineage: Bacteria
Description: bacterial SSU rRNA
Rfam family: Bacterial small subunit ribosomal RNA
Source: RNAcentral
AGUGAACGCUGGCGGCAGGCCUAACACAUGCAAGUCGAGCGGCAGCGCGGGGGCAACCCUGGCGGCGAGCGGCGGACGGGUGAGGAAUGCAUCGGAAUCUACCUCGUUGUGGGGGAUAACCUCGGGAAACCGGGACUAAUACCGCAUACGACCUACGGGUGAAAGUGGGGGACCUUCGGGCCUCACGCGAUGAGAUGAGCCGAUGCCGGAUUAGCUAGUUGGCGGGGUAAAGGCCCACCAAGGCGACGAUCCGUAGCUGGUCUGAGAGGAUGAUCAGCCACACUGGAACUGAGACACGGUCCAGACUCCUACGGGAGGCAGCAGUGGGGAAUAUUGGACAAUGGGCGAAAGCCUGACCCAGCCAUGCCGCGUGAAGGAAGACGGCCUUAUGGGUUGUAAACUUCUUUACUACGCGAAUAGAGGUUAGUACGAGAUACUAAUAGGAAGGUAGUGUAGUAAAAGCACCGGCUAACUCCGUGCCAGCAGCCGCGGUAAAACGUCUA